RNAcentral lists this ribosomal RNA (501 nucleotides) under uncultured Planctomycetota bacterium. RNAcentral describes it as "bacterial SSU rRNA". It matches the Rfam family "Bacterial small subunit ribosomal RNA", at positions 117 to 643 of the family's 1533-position model. The record is from RNAcentral. Lineage: Bacteria; Pseudomonadati; Planctomycetota.
AUGGGUGACCUACCUUUGGGUUCGGGAUAGCCAUCAGAGAUGGUGGGUAAUACCGGAUGACGUCGUGAGACCAAAGAUUCAUCGCCCUCAGAGGGGCCCAUGUGAUAUUAGCUAGUUGGUGAGGUAACGGCUCACCAAGGCGAAGAUGUCUAGCGGGUGUGAGAGCACGACCCGCGCCACUCGCACUGAGACACUGGCGAGACACCUACGGGUGGCUGCAGUCGAGGAUCUUCGGCAAUGGGCGCAAGCCUGACCGAGCGACGCCGCGUGAGCGAUGAAGGCCUUCGGGUUGUAAAGCUCUUUAGUGGGGGAGAAAAGCCGCAAGGUGUGAUCUAUCCCAAAAAUAAGCACGGGCUAAGUUCGUGCCAGCAGCCGCGGUAAGACGAACCGUGCGAACGUUGUUCGGAAUCACUGGGCUUAAAGGGCGCGUAGGCGGGCUGUCAAGUCUGGGGUGAAAUCCCGCGGCUCAACCGUGGAACUGCCUCAGAUACUGACGGCCUC